CUUUGUAUUCUUCCACAGCUUUCUUGAACUGCAACUUCGUCUUAAAUUGUUUAUAUAUUCUUGUGUUGCUUAAUCUCUGCAUGUGAGAGUUUAUAAUAGGGAUAUUGUUUGCGGUUCAAUAAAGCUGUGGGAAGAUACGAACA
This 143-nucleotide microRNA precursor is filed under the name Corchorus capsularis. RNAcentral describes it as "MIR396 microRNA precursor family". It matches the Rfam family "MIR396 microRNA precursor family". The record is from Rfam by way of RNAcentral. Lineage: Eukaryota; Viridiplantae; Streptophyta; Magnoliopsida; Malvales; Malvaceae.